This 467-nucleotide ribosomal RNA is filed under the name uncultured bacterium. RNAcentral's name for it is "partial 16S ribosomal RNA". It matches the Rfam family "Bacterial small subunit ribosomal RNA", at positions 28 to 507 of the family's 1533-position model. The record is from RNAcentral.
GACGAACGCUGGCGGCGUGCUUAACACAUGCAAGUCGAACGGAAAGGCCUCUUUCGGGGGGUACUCGAGUGGCGAACGGGUGAGUAACACGUGAGUAACCUGCCCUUGACUUUGGGAUAACUUCAGGAAACUGGGGCUAAUACCGGAUAGGAGCUCCUGCUGCAUGGUGGGGGUUGGAAAGAUUCGGCGGUUGGGGAUGGACUCGCGGCUUAUCAGCUUGUUGGUGGGGUAGUGGCUUACCAAGGCUUUGACGGGUAGCCGGCCUGAGAGGGUGACCGGCCACAUUGGGACUGAGAUACGGCCCAGACUCCUACGGGAGGCAGCAGUGGGGAAUAUUGCACAAUGGGUGGAAGCCUGAUGCAGCAACGCCGUGUGCGGGAUGACGGCCUUCGGGUUGUAAACCGCUUUCGCUCAUGACGAAGCUUUGUGUGACGGUAGUGGGUAAAGAAGCACCGGCUAACUACGUG